UACUAUAAGAUGGCUGUCACCCCAAG
RNAcentral lists this non-coding RNA (26 nucleotides) under Mus musculus (house mouse). The record is from RNAcentral. Lineage: Eukaryota; Metazoa; Chordata; Mammalia; Rodentia; Muridae.